Molecule: ribosomal RNA, 253 nt
Filed under: uncultured bacterium
Lineage: Bacteria
Description: partial 16S ribosomal RNA
Rfam family: Bacterial small subunit ribosomal RNA
Source: RNAcentral
UACAGAGGGUGCUAGCGUUGUUCGGAAUCAUUGGGCGUAAAGGGCGUGUAGGCGGUUUGUUAAGUCAUGUGUGAAAUCCCUCGGCUCAACCGGGGAACGACGCAUGAAACUGGCAAGCUAGAGUACCAAAGAGGGUCGCGGAAUUCCCGGUGUAGAGGUGAAAUUCGUAGAUAUCGGGAGGAACACCGGUGGCGAAGGCGGCGACCUGGGUAGAUACUGACGCUGAGGUGCGAAAGCGUGGGGAGCAAACAGG